RNAcentral lists this ribosomal RNA (460 nucleotides) under uncultured bacterium. Its description in RNAcentral is "partial 16S ribosomal RNA". It matches the Rfam family "Bacterial small subunit ribosomal RNA", at positions 338 to 795 of the family's 1533-position model. The record is from RNAcentral.
CCUACGGGUGGCUGCAGUGAGGAAUAUUGGUCAAUGGGCGCGAGCCUGAACCAGCCAAGUCGCGUGAAGGAUGACUGUCCUCCGGGUUGUAAACUUCUUUUAUAAAGGAAUAAAGUGAGGCACGUGUGCCUUUUUGUAUGUACUUUAUGAAUAAGGAUAGGCUAACUCAGUGCUAGCAGCCGCGGUAAUACGGAGGAUCCGAGCGUUAUCCGGAUUUUUUGGGUUUAAAGGGAGCGUAGAUGGGUUGUUAAGUCAGUUGUGAAAGUUUGCGGCUCAACCGUAAAAUUGCAAUUGAUACUGGCAGUCUUGAGUGCAGUUGAGGUAGGCGGAAUUCGUGGUGGAGCGGUGAAAUGCUUAGAUAUCACGAAGAACUCCGAUUGCGAAGGCAGCUUACUAGACUGCCACUGACGUUGAUGCUCGAAAGUGUGGGUAGCAAACAGGAUUAGAUACCCCGGUAGUC